Long non-coding RNA from Pezoporus flaviventris, 659 nucleotides. RefSeq lists it as uncharacterized. The transcript is spliced from 4 exons. The record is from RefSeq and is a predicted model, not a curated record. NCBI's taxonomy places the organism in Eukaryota, Metazoa, Chordata, Aves, Psittaciformes, Psittacidae.
UGAUCCUGCAAAAAAAGUGCUAUCCACUGUGGAUGAAGCCACCAGUUUAAGGAAAACUGCUGCCUAGCUUUCUUUGCAGAGCUGCUGAAAGAAAAUGGCAGGAGUUUUAUCCUGGUGUUAAAGACUCCGAAUGUGAUUGGGCUUUUAACGCACGCGUGGCAGAUGUGGAGUAGAGCUGUAUGACUGAGUACAGCUUGUGUGCAGGCAAAACUGCUUCCAAAAACUCUGGAGACGGUGCCAUCGCUCAUGCUGCAAGGAGCCGGAAGAGAGGCCUCUGGGCCCUGGGGCAACGCGUGGGGCUCGCUAUGGAGGGUGAGUCACCUACUGCAAAAGGUGCAGGUAGGGCUUUGUUAGCAUGUUCAGUUAAUGUUUUACUGUGUUUGGCAGUGAGGAAGCACCCUGCCAUGACCCAACUGUAAAAUGUGUCUGCAGGCAAUGUCCCUAGGGUAUUCUUCAGAAGGGACACGGUGUUAAAGAAACCCAAACCUGUUUGUCUGAGCCUUGGCAAGGUGGGAGUUGUCAUUACCUUCAGGAGAGUGCUCACAGAGGCACACAGACUGUUUGCUAACAGGAUGCAGAGCCUUCUUUCUCCAGGCCUACAAACCUUCUUCAGUCUACUGAAUAUGGUCUGGAUCUCUUUUCUGGCCAAUACCUCACAA